AGUGUCCAAAAACCAUGGAAGCAGAAAUCGGUGACACAGUGAUUCUGCCGUGUUCCACUGAUCCUCAAACCAAUGUCAUUAGAGUGGAGUGGAUGGUAAAUGUGACAACUGAGGUCCAUGUGUGCAGAAAAGAUAAAGAUGAGCUUGCUCACCAAGCAAGCAUCUAUGAAGGAAAAACAUCUGUUUUUAAACAGCAACUACCAAAAGGGAACUGUUCACUGCAACUGGUGGUUUCUCAGUCUCAUUUCGGGACAUACAAGUGCUCUGUACUUACAUCAAAGAAAACAGAAGACAGUUGUGUUAUAAAUCUCACUGUCUAUGCGAAAGGGGCCCAAAUCAACCCUGUCCGUUCCAAAAGCAGUUUUGACUUUCAAUAUGCAGCUCUUUUUUCCAUUGCCUGUGCCGUUCCUCUCUUUUGGUAUCUCUUCUAUAAAGGACACUAAAAUGGACAACAUCAAGAAACAGCAAACAACCAUCAAGAGGGUGGAGGAGCUGAAAAUGAAGCAGACAGCAUGGGGAGCUGAGCAUUCUAGCUGAUAGCAAGAAGCAAAAAGACUUAAUGAAUUAGGUCUUUAUGUUUUUAAUUUGAAACAGAUCAAUAUUUUUGUUGGUUAACUUUAAUAUAUUACUGUCAUAUUGCAAGUGACUAUAUAAACAGACAUUCACACAGAAAGCACUCACCACACAUUCCUUUGUAACUGAUAGCUGGUCUUUAUGGACAUUCUAGGCCCCUGUUGUCUAGGUAAUGCUCUGAUAUAUUUAUCACCCCUAUUCGUCAGUCAGUAGCUUGAAUUCGAGUUUUACUCAGGACCGACCCACUUCAAACUUCCUGGGUGAGUUCACCUAGGACGUUGCCAAUAUCAUUGCCAUUCUUUGGUCUCUGGUUGUCAUGUUACUACUAGUCACUUCCUACAGCGGGGAAAAUAAGUAUUUGACACAUCAGCAUUUUUAUCAGUAAGGGGAUUUCUAAGUGGACUAUUGACACAA
This is a long non-coding RNA of Pundamilia nyererei, 987 nucleotides long. RefSeq lists it as uncharacterized. The record is from RefSeq and is a predicted model, not a curated record. NCBI's taxonomy places the organism in Eukaryota, Metazoa, Chordata, Actinopteri, Cichliformes, Cichlidae. The transcript is spliced from 4 exons.